GAACGGGGAUCAGCCCAUUAAGUUAUGUGUGUUUUAGUGGAACGCUCUGGGAAGUGCGAACGUAGAGGGUGAUAUUCCCGUACACGAAAGGGCACACAUAAUGAUGACGAGUAGGGCGAGGCACGUGAAACCUUGUCUGAAUAUGGGGGGACCAUCCUCCAAGGCUAAAUACUCCUGACUGACCGAUAGUGAACCAGUACCGUGAGGGAAAGGCGAAAAGAACCCCUGUGAGGGGAGUGAAAUAGAUCCUGAAACCGCAUGCAUACAAGCAGUGGGAGCACCUUCGUGGUGUGACUGCGUACCUUUUGUAUAAUGGGUCAGCGACUUAUAUUCAGUAGCAAGGUUAACCGUAUAGGGGAGCCGUAGAGAAAUCGAGUCUUAAUAGGGCGUUUAGUUGCUGGGUAUAGACCCGAAACCAGGCGAUCUAUCCAUGAGCAGGUUGAAGGUUGGGUAACACUAACUGGAGGACCGAACCCACUGUCGUUGAAAAGCCAGGGGAUGACUUGUGGAUAGGGGUGAAAGGCUAAUCAAGCCUGGUGAUAGCUGGUUCUCCCCGAAAGCUAUUUAGGUAGCGCCUCGGACGAAUACCAUAGGGGGUAGAGCACUGUUUCGGCUAGGGGGUCAUCCCGACUUACCAAACCGAUGCAAACUCCGAAUACCUAUGAGUACUAUCCGGGAGACAGACUGCGGGUGCUAACGUCCGUAGUCAAGAGGAAAACAAUCCAGACCGCCAGCUAAGGCCCCAAAAUCAUAGUUAAGUGGGAAACGAUGUGGGAAGGCAUAGACAGCUAGGAGGUUGGCUUAGAAGCAGCCACCCUUUAAAGAAAGCGUAAUAGCUCACUAGUCGAGUCGGCCUGCGCGGAAGAUGUAACGGGGCUAAAACUAUGUGCCGAAGCUGCGGAU
This 903-nucleotide ribosomal RNA is filed under the name Acinetobacter baumannii. RNAcentral's name for it is "partial 23S ribosomal RNA". It matches the Rfam family "Bacterial large subunit ribosomal RNA", at positions 290 to 1207 of the family's 2925-position model. Lineage: Bacteria; Pseudomonadati; Pseudomonadota; Gammaproteobacteria; Moraxellales; Moraxellaceae. The record is from RNAcentral.